This 212-nucleotide unclassified non-coding RNA is filed under the name Hevea brasiliensis (rubber tree). Lineage: Eukaryota; Viridiplantae; Streptophyta; Magnoliopsida; Malpighiales; Euphorbiaceae. The record is from RNAcentral.
AUGGCUAUCAAAGGUGGGCUGAAGUCAACAGGGAGUUUGGAGUUGGACGGUGGUGGCGAUGACUGGUUGGGAGUGGUCACUGUAGUUCCAGUGACGGCGGCAGCUGGAGAUGGGGCCCACUGAGAGUGGUGGUGCGCCGGAGAAGGCGAAGGGGCGAAGGUUCUGAAAGCCAUGUUGUGGUGGUUUGUCUGCGAAGCGUGUUAAUGGAAUUU